RNAcentral lists this ribosomal RNA (253 nucleotides) under uncultured bacterium. RNAcentral's name for it is "partial 16S ribosomal RNA". It matches the Rfam family "Bacterial small subunit ribosomal RNA", at positions 524 to 776 of the family's 1533-position model. The record is from RNAcentral.
UACGUAGGGUGCAAGCGUUGUCCGGAAUUAUUGGGCGUAAAGAGCUCGUAGGCGGUUUGUCGCGUCGAAUGUGAAAACCCGGGGCUCAACCCCGGGCCUGCAUUCGAUACGGGCAGGCUAGAGUUCGGUAGGGGAGUCUGGAAUUCCUGGUGUAGCGGUGAAAUGCGCAGAUAUCAGGAGGAACACCGGUGGCGAAGGCGGGACUCUGGGCCGAUACUGACGCUGAGGAGCGAAAGCGUGGGGAGCAAACAGG